RNAcentral lists this ribosomal RNA (588 nucleotides) under Bacillus sp. NA402. RNAcentral describes it as "bacterial SSU rRNA". It matches the Rfam family "Bacterial small subunit ribosomal RNA", at positions 337 to 916 of the family's 1533-position model. Lineage: Bacteria; Bacillati; Bacillota; Bacilli; Caryophanales; Bacillaceae. The record is from RNAcentral.
CUCUACGGGAGGCAGCAGUAGGGAAUCUUCCGCAAUGGACGAAAGUCUGACGGAGCAACGCCGCGUGAGUGAUGAAGGUUUUCGGAUCGUAAAACUCUGUUGUUAGGGAAGAACAAGUGCCGGAGUAACUGCCGGUACCUUGACGGUACCUAACCAGAAAGCCACGGCUAACUACGUGCCAGCAGCCGCGGUAAUACGUAGGUGGCAAGCGUUGUCCGGAAUUAUUGGGCGUAAAGCGCGCGCAGGCGGUUCCUUAAGUCUGAUGUGAAAGCCCACGGCUCAACCGUGGAGGGUCAUUGGAAACUGGGGAACUUGAGUGCAGAAGAGGAGAGUGGAAUUCCACGUGUAGCGGUGAAAUGCGUAGAGAUGUGGAGGAACACCAGUGGCGAAGGCGACUCUCUGGUCUGUAACUGACGCUGAGGCGCGAAAGCGUGGGGAGCAAACAGGAUUAGAUACCCUGGUAGUCCACGCCGUAAACGAUGAGUGCUAAGUGUUAGAGGGUUUCCGCCCUUUAGUGCUGCAGCAAACGCAUUAAGCACUCCGCCUGGGGAGUACGGCCGCAAGGUGAAAACUCAAAGGAAUUGACGG